UACGUAGGGGGCAAGCGUUGUCCGGAUUUAUUGGGCGUAAAGAGCGUGUAGGCGGCUGGGUAGGUCCGUUGUGAAAACUCAAGGCUCAACCUCGAGACGCCGAUGGAAACCCUCCAGCUAGAGUCCGGAAGAGGAGAGUGGAAUUCCUGGUGUAGCGGUGAAAUGCGCAGAUAUCAGGAGGAACACCGAUGGCGAAGGCAGGUCUCUGGGCAUUAACUGACGCUGAGGAGCGAAAGCAUGGGGAGCGAACAGG
RNAcentral lists this ribosomal RNA (253 nucleotides) under uncultured bacterium. Its description in RNAcentral is "partial 16S ribosomal RNA". It matches the Rfam family "Bacterial small subunit ribosomal RNA", at positions 524 to 776 of the family's 1533-position model. The record is from RNAcentral.